AUUUUUAUUUUAAUUCUAGUUGUUUGUAGAUGUUGCUUUACACCUCAAAAGUCUGGUUACAUUUUAACUGAACCAAUUAGAUCAUUCAGUUUAUGAGCUGACAUUCAGCAAGUGUUUAUUGGGAGGGGAAGUAUACUCCACUCUAAAAUUGGAAAUAGCAUGUUGAAUAAGAAAAUAAUCCUAUUAAUCUUGGCUACUAUCUCAGGAAGAAAUACUUUCUCAAAACCUCAUAAUCCAUACAAAAAGGAAUCUAACUUGUUUGAUCUUAACAACAAAUAUACCAGGACAGUAUGUAGUGUAAAUGCAAAGAUAAAUAAAAUUAAUAUUAAAAAAAACAAAACCUAACCAGUCUAUUUUCAUCAUGAGGGAGAAAAAAAAAAAAACCCUAACAAAGUCUCUGUUGGAACGCUCAGCGAUUUCCACUCCUAAGGACCACAAACCGAAAUUCUUUUAUUGAAUAAUUUCUCCCUACAGCGGCCUUGUCUCCCCCAUAGCACGCUUCCAAAAUUAUCAGUACUCUGCCAGGACAUAGUCGCUUGAGACCACUAAUGAGACCCUACAGAACCGCAAUCCAAAAUGCCAGUCAUGAUUCCUGUAAGGUCCAGCGAAAUCCCAAACUGUAGUCGCAGGCCACGGAAACAGUCUCUGCAUAGGACUCCAAGAAGAGGAUGUCCUCCUGAUCGCGAUCCGUCACGACCUCCCUGGACACCACAUGACCUUUCUACGAAGGCAGUUCUUAAAACUUAGCCACGGAGCUCUCCCCUCUCUCGGAAGUUAAAAGGGAGGCAGGGCGGGCCACCCCGGAUCAAGGGCUCGUCUUGCGCUACUCCCCUUACCGUGAGCAGAUCAGAGAGGGAAGAAAGGAAAAGUGGCCUCCAAGGACGGGUUUGGGGAAGAAGGGAGGGGCAGCUCCGUGUGGUGGUAACCAUUUGUGAACACGUAGGGUGGUGGCUCGCGGGCCGGAAAGAACCAACUAGGGGAGCCCGACGUGCCCGCCGCCAGGACGGCCCGCCAGGGAGGCGCA
Molecule: long non-coding RNA, 1024 nt
Filed under: Mus pahari (shrew mouse)
Lineage: Eukaryota; Metazoa; Chordata; Mammalia; Rodentia; Muridae
Description: predicted gene 43332 (MGP_PahariEiJ_G0005402.1)
Source: RNAcentral